Molecule: ribosomal RNA, 497 nt
Filed under: uncultured bacterium
Lineage: Bacteria
Description: partial 16S ribosomal RNA
Rfam family: Bacterial small subunit ribosomal RNA
Source: RNAcentral
GAUGAACGCUGGCGGCGUGCCUAAUACAUGCAAGUCGAGCGAACGGACGAGAAGCUUGCUCCUCUGACGUUAGCGGCGGACGGGUGAGUAACACGUGGAUAACCUACCUAUAAGACUGGGGUAACUUCGGGAAACCGGAGCUAAUACCGGAUAAUAUAUUGAACCGCAUGGUUCAAAAGUGAAAGACGGUCUUGCUGUCACUUAUAGAUGGAUCCGCGCUGCAUUAGCUAGUUGGUAAGGUAACGGCUUACCAAGGCAACGAUGCGUAGCCGACCUGAGAGGGUGAUCGGCCACACUGGAACUGAGACACGGUCCAGACUCCUACGGGAGGCAGCAGUAGGGAAUCUUCCGCAAUGGGCGAAAGCUUGACGGAGCAACGCCGCGUGAGUGAUGAAGGUCUUCGGAUCGUAAAACUCUGUUAUUAGGGAAGAACAUAUGUGUAAGUAACUGUGCACAUCUUGACGGUACCUAAUCAGAAAGCCACGGCUAACUACGUG